Molecule: unclassified non-coding RNA, 292 nt
Filed under: plant metagenome
Description: partial contains small subunit ribosomal RNA and internal transcribed spacer 1
Rfam family: Eukaryotic small subunit ribosomal RNA (bases 1-54)
Source: RNAcentral
GGAAGUAAAAGUCGUAUCAAGGUUUCCGUAGGUGAACCUGCGGAAGGAUCAUUGCCACACACCGAUCCAAGAUCGACACUUUUUUGUGAACUGUAAACCUUUUUAUUGAAUUGACGGAACCUUCUUCGGAAGGGGAAAGCUUUUUAGUAAAACUUAUUAACACUUAAAACAAACACUGAAUUAUACAUUGGGGGACCUUUUGGAAAUCGUUAUAGGAAGUCUAACCUGCUAUUAACGUCUUAGAUUAUUAAUUGAUAAAAAACAACUUUUAACAAUGGAUAUCUAGGUUCUU